RNAcentral lists this small nuclear RNA (103 nucleotides) under Mus pahari (shrew mouse). The record is from RNAcentral. Lineage: Eukaryota; Metazoa; Chordata; Mammalia; Rodentia; Muridae.
GUGCUUACUUUGACAGCCCCCAUACUAACAUUGGAAUAAUACAGAGAAGAUAUGCACAGGCCUCUGAGCAAGGAUGACGGUCAAAAUUUUUCUUAAAAGUCUU